GACGAACGCUGGCGGCGUGCCUAAUACAUGCAAGUUGAGCGCUGAAGGUUGGUACUUGUACCAACUGGAUGAGCAGCGAACGGGUGAGUAACGCGUGGGGAAUCUGCCUUUGAGCGGGGGACAGCAUUUGGAAACGAAUGCUAAUACCGCAUAAAAACUUUAAACACAAGUUUUAAGUUUGAAAGAUGCAAUUGCAUCACUCAAAGAUGAUCCCGCGUUGUAUUAGCUAGUUGGUGAGGUAAAGGCUCACCAAGGCGAUGAUACAUAGCCGACCUGAGAGGGUGAUCGGCCACAUUGGGACUGAGACACGGCCCAAACUCCUACGGGAGGCAGCAGUAGGGAAUCUACGGCAAUGGACGAAAGUCUGACCGAGCAACGCCGCGUGAGUGAAGAAGGUUUUCGGAUCGUAAAACUCUGUUGGUAGAGAAGAACGUUGGUGAGAGUGGAAAGCUCAUCAAGUGACGGUAACUACCCAGAAAGGGGCGGCUAACUACGUG
This 497-nucleotide ribosomal RNA is filed under the name uncultured bacterium. RNAcentral describes it as "partial 16S ribosomal RNA". It matches the Rfam family "Bacterial small subunit ribosomal RNA", at positions 28 to 507 of the family's 1533-position model. The record is from RNAcentral.